UACGGAGGGUGCAAGCGUUACUCGGAAUCACUGGGCGUAAAGAGCGCGUAGGCGGGAUAGCAAGUCAGAUGUGAAAUCCUAUGGCUUAACCAUAGAACUGCAUUUGAAACUAUCGUUCUUGAGUGUUGGAGAGGCAGGCGGAAUUCCGUGUGUAGCGGUGAAAUGCAUAGAUAUAACUUAGAACACCGAUAGCGAAGGCAGCUUACCAGACUGAGUCUGACGCUGAUGCACGAGAGCAUGGGUAGCGAACAGG
This 253-nucleotide ribosomal RNA is filed under the name uncultured bacterium. Its description in RNAcentral is "partial 16S ribosomal RNA". It matches the Rfam family "Bacterial small subunit ribosomal RNA", at positions 524 to 776 of the family's 1533-position model. The record is from RNAcentral.